RNAcentral lists this ribosomal RNA (253 nucleotides) under uncultured bacterium. RNAcentral describes it as "partial 16S ribosomal RNA". It matches the Rfam family "Bacterial small subunit ribosomal RNA", at positions 524 to 776 of the family's 1533-position model. The record is from RNAcentral.
UACAGAGGGUGCAAGCGUUAAUCGGAAUUACUGGGCGUAAAGCGUGCGUAGACGGUUAUGUAAGUCGGGUGUGAAAGCCCCGGGCUCAACCUGGGAAUGCCAUUCGAGACUGCAUAGCUAGGGUGCGGAAGAGGGAAGCGGAAUUUCCGGUGUAGCGGUGAAAUGCGUAGAUAUCGGGAGGAACACCAGUGGCGAAGGCGACUACCUGGCCUGUUCUUGACGCUGAGGCGCGAAAGCUAGGGUAGCAAACGGG